RNAcentral lists this unclassified non-coding RNA (5276 nucleotides) under Megachile rotundata (alfalfa leafcutting bee). Its description in RNAcentral is "uncharacterized LOC100880055, transcript variant X1". The record is from RNAcentral. Lineage: Eukaryota; Metazoa; Arthropoda; Insecta; Hymenoptera; Megachilidae.
UGAUCGUGAUCGUGAUCAUGAUCGCAAACCGUCUCGCACCGAUUCUCACCCUCGUCCUCGUGGUUCUGCUGUCGUCCAUCCAUCACGGUGAGGCAAUAAUAUGCUACCAAUGCAACAGCGAAUACGACCCAAGAUGUGGAGAUCCUUUCGAUCCGUUCAGUCUUGGAACCGUGAACUGCAGCUUCCAGCCACCUUUGGAACAUCUGAGCCGCUUGCAACCCACUUUGUGUCGGAAAAUCAGUCAGAAAGUGUACGGCAAGAUCAGGGUUGUCAGAGGUUGCGGAUACAUUACGGACGAGAGAGACAAUGCCCAAUGCUUGAAAAGAUCAGGCACCCACGACGUUCAAGCACUCUACUGUUCCUGCACCGGUGAUCUAUGCAACUCGGCUGAAAGCCGCACGCCGUCCUUCUUACUGCCGUUAACGUCCCUGUUGACGGUCGUUUUGGCAAUGCCGAGUGUGCUUCUUUCGUACCCGAUCGCAGUAUCCAUCUUUACCUCGCCACACUUCUCCAUAGCCUAAACUCUUCAGCAACCAGCGAAGAACACAUAACGCCUAAACCGAACCAACGAUUUAAUAGAGAUCGUUCGAACCUGGCCCAACUCGUUCCUUUUCGAUUUCCGCCUUAUUUUAAACGUACAGAUCAAACGGCGACCUUCGACCUCGCGAUGAACAUUAAUCUUUUUUCAUUCUGAAUCUUUCUUACUUUUGUUUAAAUGAAUUCUUUAACGAAAGAAAUUCCAAAUUAUUGUAACACGUGAAUCGGCGGGAAACGAGAUUGUUAACGAGUUGAUUGAAAUUACGGCUAUUGUCACUUGUUAUUUUUAAAACGAGACGCUUGAUCAAAAGGGUAAGAAAACACAAAGAUAUACCGUUUUGGGAUUCGAACGUUUCGCAAAAAUAGUCAAAUUACAAAACAGUAGUUCUAACGGUGAUACAAACUGCCAGAUACGCGAGAGCGUACUUCAGUAGUACACUUCAAGAAGAAUUAAUAAUGAGAACACACACACACACACGGCCUCCGCGCGUGAAACCAUCCAGCGUUUCUCGCAUAAGCGUAGAAAGUAAAAAAUAAUUACGUGGAGGAGAAACUAACCUCGAGGAUGCAUAUAAUAUAUUAUAGAUAUAUGAAGUAGCGGUAUUGCGAUGUGUUCGCACUUUGUACGCUGCUGCAAAACAAAUGAUAUACAGGGUGUUUCCAAUUUGAUGGUUCAACCAAAACGGCUGCGCAUCUAUGGGGAAAAAUAAGUUGAAAAUGUAGAGUGACAUCUUUUCGUACGAGGCUUCGUUUACGAAUAAAUCGAUGUUGAAAAAUCUUUAUAUUUUCGAUUUGCUUUUUCACGCAGAUUUAGACUGAUUUUGGUUGAACUACCAAACCGGGAGAGCCUUGUAUAUAUAUACACAUGUAUAUAUCUAUACAGAUAUAGACAUAUAUCUAAACAGAUAUAGAUAUAUAUCUAUAUGUAUAUUAUAUUUACAGAUAUAUAUAUUAUAUUUUAUUGGAAGGAAGCAGAAAUGGAAUUGCACGCAAGAGGGAUACUACAGCUUAUUUUUUAGAGAAGUAACGUCGGGUUGCUUUCGUGGAUGCCUGGUGUUGUACAGAAUUUUAAUGCUGACGCGGGAAUUAAAGAAGAAUAUAUGAAACACAUAUCAUCGAUACGUAAUAUAUUUUACCCCUCGUUUCGAUGAAAAUGAAUAAGUAUCCGGCAUUACGAUUGCGACUCGUGUUCCGCUGAUUUUUGCAAUAAAAUGCUGUAUAAGCGGUAGCGGAGGCUCGCGAAUGGAAUACAAUUGACUCGUGCAUGUGUGUGUGUAUGUAUGAUACGAGUGCGUAUGCACACGAUUGCGUGGUUGUUGCGUGUACGAGUGUGAAAGAGAAACAAGAAACGCUAAAUUAUACAGAUAGUUCGAUUAAGAAACGAAAUGUUGCUAUUAAGAUGAAACUUGUUAAAAGUUUUCAGUCGUGGAUCGUACACUUGAGGAUUUUUGUUCAUCAGGAUCUUAUAAGAAUACGGUUCACGCUUGGGAACUUUUGGUAAGUAUCAUCUUAACAAUCCUGGCCGUAAAGCCUCAAGAAUCUUAUGUUGCUACUUGUUGAACCGUAGCCAACUAAAGAAAACAGUAAAAACACGAAUUACAAAAAAUAACAAAAAAAAGAGUCGUAAAUGAAAUCGUAACGAUGUAGAAUCGUUGAUGGAGAAACGUAGAGGGUAAAGUAGAACGCUUACUAACAAGACAAAAAAAAAUAAGGCGAAUACAUGUCUCACCGCAGUACCUAAUUUAAUUGCUGCUGCCGCUGUUGUCACCGUGUCAUGUCAUCACCAUCGUUACAACAUCAUUGCAGCUGCUACUGUCAUAAUUGUCAGUUAUAGGCUGAUAUAGGUUGCGUGUUUUUUCGAAAGAGUUGAAGUUGACACCAAAGGAUAGAGAUAAUUCAGUGGUGAUUCUCCUGUACCCACACAUCACAAAUGGUGGGGAGAAAGAGGCUGUGGAAAGGGUAAGGGCACCGCACGCAUGCGUGUCCCCCCACCUACUCGCGUAUUAGGCCACGCCUAUUCAAUCAUGGCGCCCCUCUAAAAGCGCGUCGGUUUCCUGUUCAAACUGUUUUCGCGCACAGAACGCAUGUGUGUACAAUGUGUACAGUAAGCACAUGUGAUUAGAGAAAUGUUCAGGAGGCUGCCAUAAGCCUCCUUUAAAAGAUGUAGUCAAAUCUUCAUAUAUUGAUAACGACGAAUGAUAGAGAGGAUGCUUAGGAGAGACAACUUUGGAUAUGCCUGUAUUAAACAGAGAGGAAACGACCACGAUUAUUACUCUCUCUCAUGUGUGUCAACUUUAACCCUCUCACGGAACGCACAAUCUAUAUGUAAGUCCUGCUAUCAGAAGUACGAUUACUCAGAUGUUACUACAACUAAUGUUACUGAAUCAACAUAAUUAUUAUUGUCAUCAUUGUUAAUAUUUUUAUUGUUAUUAUUAUUUGAUCGUGAUAAAAUGCAUGAUGGAACGAUGGUAAACGUUUUGACAUCGUAUGGAGUGGAAGAGUAAUGGAUCAAGAUGAUUAAUAUCAACAUAAACUUGAGAUAAUUUGGCCAUCUAAAAUCCAUUUCUGUUUUAACUGCGGGGGAGCACGCGAAGUUUGUAAUCUCUGAAAUUACUGAUUCGCAUCCUUUCGGUACACGUUCUGUUAAAAGUUCUAUGUGUCGCAAUUUUUACCGUAUAUAAUUCUUAUAAUUAGGGAUGUGCGUGUAAUUUGAUUCAUCGGUUUGAAAUCUGAGAGCUUAAUACUUUCGGACUUCCGAUCUUGUCCGACAUUUUCCGAUUCAAUCCGAACCCAUUAUUCCGAUUACCCGCACAUUUCUACUAACUUCAAAUAUGCCUAUAUUGAAUUUCUUUCUUCACUCCAUCCAACGUAGCAGCAGGAAUUUCCGUUGAAACCAAAAAGUGAGAAACAAAUAAAUCGAAUAAGGAACGAAAAUAAUAGAGACGACAAAUAUUUCGUUACAUUCCACUCAAUUAAUUUAGUUAGUUGGUCGCUUUAGAUUUCGAGAAAUUAAUAUUUGAAAAUAGCGAUGUUUUACUUCUUUAUUUUUGCUUAAAACACGAACAUAUAACUGUGUGUAUAGUUAUUCGUCUGUAAGGUAACUUUUAAAACAUCCGAUUCAAAAAAUAGAAUUAUUGUCUCGAGUUAUGCUAUAUUUUUUAUUUGCAUGAUGUACAUAAAAUUAGUUCAAAACGAUGACGAGAUCAGAGCUGUCCCUAGAGUUUGUGGACUCUUGAGCUAAAAUCGAUGUUACAGAGAAAUAAUGAUAUAAUGUUUUUAAUAAAACUGUAAAGUAUCUAACAAAAAUAAUUUCCGUUAUAUGUAUAAUACAUAACAAAGUAUUUUAUAUAAUAUAUUAACAUCUAAUAUAAGAAUAUAGUUUGAAACGACUUUAAAACACGAAAAAUUAUGGUCAUAUAUUUUUAAAAGUAUCUUCGAAAAUUUAAAUCGGCUCGAUGUGCAAUACUAGGAACGGCUCUGAACGAAAUAUACACAUGUAUCUACUUACGUCUAUAGCAUGGAUGUUUCAAGUUAAAGUCGGGUUAAGUAAAGUCGAAUAGAUUGAAAUUCGACUAUUUCGAAUGAAAUAUGAGAAAAUCGAAUGGGUUGUAACGAAUUCUCGCAAUGUUCAAUUCGAUAUUCAAAAAUAACGAUAUCCAGUUGUCUUCCAAAUUCGAAAAUUUGUAAAUUUGAUUCUCAACAUUUGUUUUGAUUCGAUUCGAGAUUCGAGCCAACCUCAUUUUCUCGGGCUUUCUUCGAUUUAACUCGACGCAUUGGAUUAUCGACAGAUCCUUGAUCUAUAGAAACUAUGACGCCUGAAGAAUAAAGAAAAACAAUACCGAUACAUUUUCGAUCUCUUCUUCCUUCUAACGUGCAACUUGGUUAAAGAAUGUUGCGCCCCCAAGACGAAGUGGAAUGUAACGAAACUACUUCUGCGUGUACCCGUUUCAAAUUUGUAAGAAGUGAAAUCCGCUUCGUACAUAUCAUUCGUCCAUAAUCAUCCGUCACAUUUUAAUUGAAUAAAACUACUGGCAUCACUGCCCUCCCUGUUCAAGCAUAUCGAGAAAAGAACAAAGAAUGUCAUCGACAUAUAAUUGCAUUUAAUUGACAAUUUAUCCCAGGUAUCAAGAGAUUACUUCAAAUUUGUUCUGUUUUAUUAUAUUUAUUGUCAUCUAAUGUUAAUAUUGCAUUGUACACAUCGAUCACUAUGUACAGAGAAUAUUCUGCCAAUAAAGUGUUGAAUGGUUACAAAAAAUCAAACAGAAAAAAAAUCAAAAUGGAACUCCAUAUACAUUAGGGACUCUCAAUUAUUUUUUAUGAAAUUCUGAUAAUAUUGAUUUGUCGUCGUCUAGAUAGUAAUUUAAAUAAAAUAAUGUCAAAAGAAAAAGAUUUCAAUUUAGAUUGAUCCUAUAGAUAUUAUAAUUAUACAGGUAAAGUACAUUGUUCCCUCAAUGUUAUAUCAAAGCUAUACUACAAUUUAGUUUGUUAUUUAAUGAUUUUGAUGUUAGUGAACAUAAAUAAAUGCUGUUUUUUUUUAGAUAUAUCAGUGAUUCAUAUAACCUUCAUCUAUAAUUAAUUCAGUACAACGGAAAUGAUUAUGCGCGUGAUGCGUUCAUUAGUAAUGUGUUCCAGGAUGUACACAAUAAUAUAAAAUAAUGCGUUCAUGAUAAAUGAUACUUAAUAAUGAUUGCAAAAUAACAAAGGUAAGAAAUGGAUUUAUAAAUGCCACAAAUACUAUG